UACGAAGGGGGCUAGCGUUGUUCGGAAUUACUGGGCGUAAAGCGCACGUAGGCGGACUAUUAAGUCAGGGGUGAAAUCCCGGGGCUCAACCCCGGAACUGCCUUUGAUACUGGUAGUCUCGAGUCCGGAAGAGGUGAGUGGAAUUCCGAGUGUAGAGGUGAAAUUCGUAGAUAUUCGGAGGAACACCAGUGGCGAAGGCGGCUCACUGGUCCGGUACUGACGCUGAGGUGCGUAAGCGUGGGGAGCAAACAGG
RNAcentral lists this ribosomal RNA (253 nucleotides) under uncultured bacterium. RNAcentral's name for it is "partial 16S ribosomal RNA". It matches the Rfam family "Bacterial small subunit ribosomal RNA", at positions 524 to 776 of the family's 1533-position model. The record is from RNAcentral.